CAGUCGCCGCGGGAAUACGUAGGGUGCAAGCGUUAAUCGGAAUUACUGGGCGUAAAGCGUGCGCAGGCGGUUUGUUAAGACAGAUGUGAAAUCCCCGGGCUCAACCUGGGAACUGCAUUUGUGACUGGCAGGCUAGAGUAUGGCAGAGGGGGGUGGAAUUCCGCGUGUAGCAGUGAAAUGCGUAGAUAUGCGGAGGAACACCGAUGGCGAAGGCAGCCCCCUGGGCCAAUACUGACGCUGAGGUACGAAAGCAUGGGGAGCAAACAGGAUUAGAUACCCCCGUAGUCCCUGUCUCUUAUAA
This 301-nucleotide ribosomal RNA is filed under the name uncultured bacterium. RNAcentral's name for it is "partial 16S ribosomal RNA". It matches the Rfam family "Bacterial small subunit ribosomal RNA", at positions 509 to 809 of the family's 1533-position model. The record is from RNAcentral.